UGCAUGUCUAAGUAUAAGCAAUCUAUACAGUGAAACUGCGAAUGGCUCAUUAAAUCAGUUAUCGUUUAUUUGAUAGUACCUUACUACUUGGAUAACCGUGGUAAUUCUAGAGCUAAUACAUGCUAAAAAUCCCAACCUCUGGAAGGGAUGUAUUUAUUAGAUAAAAAACCAAUGCCUUCGGGCUCCUUGGUGAUUCAUGAUAACUUAACGAAUCGCAUGGCCUUGUGCCGGCGAUGGUUCAUUCAAAUUUCUGCCCUAUCAACUUUCGAUGGUAGGAUAGUGGCCUACCAUGGUUUCAACGGGUAACGGGGAAUUAGGGUUCUAUUCCGGAGAGGGAGCCUGAGAAACGGCUACCACAUCCAAGGAAGGCAGCAGGCGCGCAAAUUACCCAAUCCCGACACGGGGAGGUAGUGACAAUAAAUACUGAUACAGGGCCCUUUCGGGUCUUGUAAUUGGAAUGAGUACAAUUUAAAUCCCUUAACGAGGAACAAUUGGAGGGCAAGUCUGGUGCCAGCAGCCGCGGUAAUUCCAGCUCCAAUAGCGUAUAUUAAAGUUGUUGCAGUUAAAAAGCUCGUAGUUGAACCUUGGGUCUGGCUGGCCGGUCCGCCUCACCGCGUGCACUGGUCCGGCCGGACCUUUCCUUCUGGCUAACCUCAUGCCCUUUACUGGGUGUGCUGGGGAACCAGGACUUUUACUUUGAAAAAAUUAGAGUGUUCAAAGCAGGCAUUUGCUCGAAUACAUUAGCAUGGAAUAAUAGAAUAGGACGUGCGGUUCUAUUUUGUUGGUUUCUAGGACCGCCGUAAUGAUUAAUAGGGAUAGUCGGGGGCAUCCGUAUUCAAUUGUCAGAGGUGAAAUUCUUGGAUUUAUUGAAGACGAACUACUGCGAAAGCAUUUGCCAAGGAUGUUUUCAUUAAUCAGGAACGAAAGUUGAGGGAUCGAAGACGAUCAGAU
RNAcentral lists this ribosomal RNA (951 nucleotides) under Plectania melastoma. Its description in RNAcentral is "SSU rRNA". It matches the Rfam family "Eukaryotic small subunit ribosomal RNA", at positions 52 to 1013 of the family's 1831-position model. Lineage: Eukaryota; Fungi; Ascomycota; Pezizomycetes; Pezizales; Sarcosomataceae. The record is from RNAcentral.